GACGAACGCUGGCGGCGUGCCUAAUACAUGCAAGUAGAACGCUGAGGGCGGAGCUUGCUUCUCUGGAUGAGUUGCGCACGUGUGAGUAACGCGUAGGUAACCUGCCUGGUAGCGGGGGCUAUCUCUUGGAAACGGUAGCUAAUACCGCAUAAUCUUAGUUGUUGCAUGACAUUUUCUUAAAAGUUGCAAUUGCAUCACUACCAGAUGGACCUGCGUUGUAAUGGCUAGUUGGUGGUGUAACGGCUCAUCAAAGCGACGACCGAUAUGCGGCGUGAGAGGGGGGAGGGCCAAACUGGGAAUGGGGAACGGGCCACGACCCUACGGGAGGCAGCAGGAGGGAAUGUUCGGCAAUGGACGGAAGGCUGACCGAGCAACGACGGGGGAGGGAAGAAGGGUUUCGGAUCGGAAAGCUUUGUUGUAAGAGAAGAACGAGGGUGAGAGUGGAAAGUUCACACUGUGACGGUAUCUUACCAGAAAGGGACGGCUAACUACGUG
Molecule: ribosomal RNA, 495 nt
Filed under: uncultured bacterium
Lineage: Bacteria
Description: partial 16S ribosomal RNA
Rfam family: Bacterial small subunit ribosomal RNA
Source: RNAcentral